RNAcentral lists this RNase P RNA (279 nucleotides) under Escherichia coli. RNAcentral describes it as "partial RNase P RNA component class A". It matches the Rfam family "Bacterial RNase P class A", at positions 81 to 367 of the family's 367-position model. From Rfam's summary of the family: Ribonuclease P (RNase P) is a ubiquitous endoribonuclease, found in archaea, bacteria and eukarya as well as chloroplasts and mitochondria. Its best characterised activity is the generation of mature 5'-ends of tRNAs by cleaving the 5'-leader elements of precursor-tRNAs. Lineage: Bacteria; Pseudomonadati; Pseudomonadota; Gammaproteobacteria; Enterobacterales; Enterobacteriaceae. The record is from RNAcentral.
ACGCCUGGGGGGGAAACCCACGACCAGUGCAACAGAGAGCAAACCGCCGAUGGCCCGCGUAAGCGGGAUCAGGUAAGGGUGAAAGGGUGCGGUAAGAGCGCACCGCGCGGCUGGUAACAGUCCGUGGCACGGUAAACUCCACCCGGAGCAAGGCCAAAUAGGGGUUCAUAAGGUACGGCCCGUACUGAACCCGGGUAGGCUGCUUGAGCCAGUGAGCGAUUGCUGGCCUAGAUGAAUGACUGUCCACGACAGAACCCGGCUUAUCGGUCAGUUUCACCU